GGUUCGAUCCUGGCUCAGAUUGAACGCUGGCGGGAUGCGUUUUCACAUGCAAGUCGAACGGCAAGCACGGACUUCGGUCUGGUGGCGAGUGGCGAACGGGUGCGAGUAAUGUAUCGGAACGUGCCUAGUAGCGCGGUGAUCAACCACGCGAAAGCGUAGCCAAUACCGCCAUUGCCCUUCGGGGAAAGCGGGGGACCCUGGGCCUCGCACUAUUAGAGCGGCCGAUAUCGGAUUAGCUAGUUGGUGGGGUAACGGCUCACCAAGGGCGACGAUCCGUAGCUGGCUUGAGAGGACUGAUCCCGUCCUGGGACUGAGACACGGCCCAGACUCCUACGGAGGCAGCAGGGGGAAUUUUGGAUACAGUCAGUAGAAAUCCCUGAUCCAGCUAUCCGCGUGUGCGAUGAAGGCCUUCGGGUUGUAAAGCACUUUUAAGGCAGUGAAAGGAAACGGCACGGGAUAAUACCCCCGUGCAACUGAUGCGGCCUGCGGUAACAAGCACCGGCUAACCACGUGCCAGCAGCCGCGGUACGUAGGGUGCAAGCGUUAAUCGGAAUUACUGGGCGUAAAGCGUGCGCAGGCGGUUCGGAAAGAAAGAUGUGAAAUCCCAGAGCUUAACUUUGAACUGCAUUUUUAACUACCGAGCUAGAGUGUGUCAGAGUGGGAGGUGGAAUUCCGCGUGUAGCAGUGAAAUGCGUAGAUAUGCGGAGGAACACCGAUGGCGAAGGCAAGCCUCCUGGGAUAACACUGACGCUCAUGCACGAAAGCGUGGGGAGCAAAACAGGAUUAGAUACCCCGGUAGUCCACGCCCUAAACGAUGUCAACUAGCUGUUGGGGCCUUCUGGGCUCUUACAAGCAGCUAACGCGUGAAGUUGACCGCCUGGGAGUACGGUCGCAAGAUUUAAACUCAAAGGAAUUGACGGGGACCCGCACAAGCGGUGGAUGACAGGAUUAAUUCGAUGCAACGCGAAAAACCUUACCUACCCUUGACAUGUCUUAAAUCCGAAGAGAUUUGGGAGUGCUCGCAAGAGAACCGGAACACAGGUGCUGCAUGGUUCGUUCCGUCAGCUCGUGUCGUGAGAUGUUGGGUUAAGUCCCGCAACGAGCGCAACCCUUGUCAUUAGUUGCUACGAAAGGGCACUCUAAUGAGACUGUCGGUGACAAACCGGAGGAAGGUGGGGAUGACGUCAAGCUCUCAUGGCCCUUAUGGGUAGGGCUUCACACGUCAUACAAUGGUCGGGACAGAGGGUCGCCAACCUGGCGAGGGGGAGCCAAUCCCAGAACCCGAUCGUAGUCCGGAUCGCAGUCUGCAACUCGACUGCGUGAAGCUCGGAAUCGCUAGUAAUCGCGGAUCAGCAUUGUCGCGGGUGAAUACGUUCCCGGGUCUUGUACACACCGCCCGUCACACCACAUGGGGAGUGGGUUUUACCAGAAGUAGUUAGCCUAACCGUAAGGAGGGCGAUUACCACGUAGGAUUCAUGACUGGGGUGAAGUCGUGUAACAAGGUAACUCCCCAGCACACCUGAUGCCCCA
Molecule: ribosomal RNA, 1530 nt
Filed under: uncultured Bordetella sp.
Lineage: Bacteria; Pseudomonadati; Pseudomonadota; Betaproteobacteria; Burkholderiales; Alcaligenaceae
Description: partial 16S-23S ribosomal RNA intergenic spacer
Rfam family: Bacterial small subunit ribosomal RNA
Source: RNAcentral